GUGCGUUGACCGUACGUAUGGUAUAGCAAAGUAUCGACAAGUGUCAUACUUAGCUUUGGUAGGUUCUCGAGUAGGGCAUAUAGGCUCGUCACUGUUUGCCGUGUUCUCGGUGCUUCCGGGGGAUCUACUUUUCAGAUUUUAUUAUAUUCUUUACAACGGUAUGCUCAUAGAACCACUCGAUUAACUGGCCGUCGUUGGAAAUCUGUUUGGAUACCGGACAACUGCCAUUUACAAGGUAUUUAGGGUCUAUUUACCUACGUGAAGGUAUUUUUAUGGAAGCGUUAAUUGACCCCCGAGUUGACGUGAAAAUGACAGACAUGUCAGAAUAGAUUAUCUCGACAUAUCGUGUAAUAUCGUGGCAUCCCGGAUAUUAUUAAGACGUCACGCAAGAACUGAUUCUUGUCUUGUUGACAAAGUUUCUAUCACAGGUCAUAAUUUAUGCUACGCUUACCUAAAUUUACUAUGUGGCACGUCUUUUUGUAGUCGCAGUAAGGCGACAUGCCAUUAUGCAACGUAUCAUGUUACUUAGAUAUAAGUCGACUUGCCAUUUGAUUAACAUGGUUUUGCUUCCUAAAUUUAAACGAGAAAAUCACAAGAUGAAAAUGUCAACUUACACGAACACAAAAGGCAACAUAAAGUAUUUCUUGAAUCCGUGUGUGUUCCAGACAGACGGACGUGUCUACUUCGGUAAGUUUAUACAAUAUUAUAUAAAUUAAAAUAAUAAUUCACGAUUUUUUAAUUGAAUUAAUUUGUAACCAUGAAUAUAUUAAAAUAUAAACAUUAGUUUGUGUUAAGAGUGUACAAUAGGUAUUUGUAAGAAAAGACAGAGGCUUUUCCUUUUGGUCAGACCUUUAGACCCGGGGUUGAAGGGUGCAGUUACCGGAGCACUGGGCACCCUACACGUAUUUGUUCAAGAUAGGCUUCUGUAGUCUUGUUUAUCUGAUUGCAUACUCCUUUUUUUGUUAUUUUUUCAAUAGAAUUUUUAAUUGGAUUGUGCUCAUAACUGUCUGAAUUUAUCAUGAAUUUCUGAAUUCGCUUCACUGUUAAAGUAAAUAACAGUUUCUUACCGAAAUCAGUGAUAAAAUAUGUUAAUCAAUACGUCUUCAAUCCGAGUGAGAAGUCAUAAAGGAAAUAUUUACCCUAAAAGCAAAGAUAUGACAGCAAAAGCCUUUAUUAUAACUAUAGGGUAGCGGCCAUGUCUUUUACAGGUGGCACCAGCUGGUAGGAACUACAUUUUGGACUGUUUUACUACGCUUGCUGUAACCAGCUUUUCCUCCCUUUGCAGACGUUUUCCAUUUGCAUUCAUAACGGGAGAAUGGAGGAGAUGGAACGUCCUUGUGUUGAAUUUAGUAAAGGUUCUUGUGCUGAAUUUAGUAAAACAGAGACCACCUGAGAAAGUGGUGAGAGACUGGCAGUCAGUACUGAACGAGCAUGGUGGAAAGACAACAUAGUCAAAUAGGGGUUUGUCAUAAGCCUAACUUGUGCAUAGCCUGCUUUGAUAGAGAGCCUUUAGGAUAUUUUCAUCUAUGUGACCUUACCGCCUGUAUAUUUUGUACAAUACAUAUUUUUAAAAACAAUGUAGAAAGAAAUACCCUAAAUGUGGGAGUAAAAUUGAAGCUGUCAGAAACAUUUAUAAUUAAAAGUAUUUGAUAAUAUAAUAGCAAUUCUGACAUGAUUACAAUCAAGGUAGAUACUUAAGAGCGGAAAGCAUUUUAAGUUGAAAUGUUUACUUCUUUCGAUGUAGGACACAAUGGAGAAUUGUUAACAUGCUUCUUGAAUAUGGAAUAUUAGAAACCGAUGCGUCUUUGAAAUUUAUUUAUACUGUGAACAGUAUUGGAUAUAAAGGCAACAUCAAUGUUAAGUUAUUGACAUCCUAUUUUUAUAUAACGUUGAACCAGCUAUAAAUAUUCAACCAUGGCUACAUCUUGUAUCUACUAAUUUACAGGACAUACGGCAAUAUCUAUAAUGUUAGGUUUGUUUUUGAAUCAUACUAUAUCAGGUGAACAAGAGUAAAAGUUGAAUAAAAGUCUCCCCGUGCAUG
Molecule: long non-coding RNA, 2041 nt
Organism: Mercenaria mercenaria
Lineage: Eukaryota; Metazoa; Mollusca; Bivalvia; Venerida; Veneridae
Exons: 3
Source: RefSeq, a predicted model, not a curated record